GAUGAACGCUGGCGGCGUGCUUAACACAUGCAAGUCGAGCGAAAAGACGCGGCGCUUGCUCCUCUGACGUUAGCGGCGGACGGGAGAGUAACACGUGGAUCACCUACCUAUAAGACGGGGAUAACUACGGGAAACCGGAGCUAAUACCAUAGAAUAUAUUGAACCGCGGGGUUGAAUAGUGAAAUACGGUUGUGCUGUCUCUUAUAGAUGGAUCCGCGCCGCAUGAGCUAGUUGGUAAGGUAACGGCUUACCAAGGCAACGAUGCGUAGCCGACCGGAGAGGGUGAUCGCCCACACUGGAACUGAGACACGGUCCAGACUCCUACGGGAGGCAGCAGUAGGGAAUCUUCGGCAAAGGGCGAAAGCCUGACGGAGCAACGCCGCGUGAGAGAUGAAGGCCUUCGGAUCGUAAAACUCUGUUAUGAGGGAAGAACCGAUUUGUAAGUAGAUAUGCAGGUAUUGACGGUACCUAAUCAGAAAGCCACGGCUAACUACGUG
Molecule: ribosomal RNA, 497 nt
Filed under: uncultured bacterium
Lineage: Bacteria
Description: partial 16S ribosomal RNA
Rfam family: Bacterial small subunit ribosomal RNA
Source: RNAcentral